GGACGAUUAGCUUAGUGGUAGAGCGCCUCGUUCACACCGAGGAGGUCGGGGGUUCAAAUCCCUCAUCGUCCACCA
This 75-nucleotide transfer RNA is filed under the name Capsulimonadaceae bacterium. RNAcentral's name for it is "tRNA-Val". It matches the Rfam family "tRNA". Rfam says of the family: Transfer RNA (tRNA) molecules are approximately 80 nucleotides in length. Their secondary structure includes four short double-helical elements and three loops (D, anti-codon, and T loops). Further hydrogen bonds mediate the characteristic L-shaped molecular structure. tRNAs have two regions of fundamental functional importance: the anti-codon, which is responsible for specific mRNA codon recognition, and the 3' end, to which the tRNAs corresponding amino acid is attached (by aminoacyl-tRNA synthetases). tRNAs cope with the degeneracy of the genetic code in two manners: having more than one tRNA (with a specific anti-codon) for a particular amino acid; and 'wobble' base-pairing, i.e. permitting non-standard base-pairing at the 3rd anti-codon position. Lineage: Bacteria; Bacillati; Armatimonadota; Armatimonadia; Capsulimonadales; Capsulimonadaceae. The record is from RNAcentral.